Molecule: ribosomal RNA, 253 nt
Filed under: uncultured bacterium
Lineage: Bacteria
Description: partial 16S ribosomal RNA
Rfam family: Bacterial small subunit ribosomal RNA
Source: RNAcentral
UACAUGUGGGGCAAGCGUUGUUCGGAAUUACUGGGCAUAAAGGGUGCGUAGGUGGUUUGUUAAGUCAGGGGUGAAAUCCCACGGCCCAACCGUGGAACUGCCUUUGAUACUGGCGAACUGGAGUGCGUGAGGGGUAGGGGGAACGAGCAGUGUAGCGGUGAAAUGCGUAGAUAUUGCUCGGAAGGCCAGAGCCGAAGGGGCCCUACUGGUACGUAACUGACGCUGAGGCACGAAAGCGUGGGGAGCAAACAGG